CCUACGGGAGGCAGCAGUGGGGGAUAUUGCACAAUGGGGGGAACCCUGAUGCAGCGACGCCGCGUGGGUGAAGAAGCGCCUCGGCGCGUAAAGCCCUGUCAGCAGGGAAGAAAAUGACGGUACCUGAAGAAGAAGCCCCGGCUAACGACGUGCCAGCAGCCGCGGGAAUACGUAGGGGGCAAGCGUUAUCCGGAUUUACUGGGUGUAAAGGGGGCGCAGCCGGCGAUGCAAGCCAGGAGGGAAAGCCCGGGGCCCAACCCCGGGACUGCUCUUGGAACGGCGUGGCUGGAGUGCAGGAGGGGCCGGCGGAAUUCCUGGUGUAGCGGUGACAUGCGUCGAUAUCAGGAGGAACACCGGUGGCGCAGGCGGCCUGCUGGACUGCAACUGACGUUGAGGCCCGAAAGCGUGGGGAGCAAACAGGCUUAGAUACCCGGGUAGUC
This 440-nucleotide ribosomal RNA is filed under the name uncultured bacterium. RNAcentral describes it as "partial 16S ribosomal RNA". It matches the Rfam family "Bacterial small subunit ribosomal RNA", at positions 338 to 795 of the family's 1533-position model. The record is from RNAcentral.